UCCCUGGUGGCUUAGUGCUAAAGAAUCUGCCUUCAAUGCAGGAGACCUGGGUUCAAUCCCUGGGUCGGGAA
This 71-nucleotide transfer RNA is filed under the name Bos taurus (domestic cattle). It matches the Rfam family "tRNA". Rfam says of the family: Transfer RNA (tRNA) molecules are approximately 80 nucleotides in length. Their secondary structure includes four short double-helical elements and three loops (D, anti-codon, and T loops). Further hydrogen bonds mediate the characteristic L-shaped molecular structure. tRNAs have two regions of fundamental functional importance: the anti-codon, which is responsible for specific mRNA codon recognition, and the 3' end, to which the tRNAs corresponding amino acid is attached (by aminoacyl-tRNA synthetases). tRNAs cope with the degeneracy of the genetic code in two manners: having more than one tRNA (with a specific anti-codon) for a particular amino acid; and 'wobble' base-pairing, i.e. permitting non-standard base-pairing at the 3rd anti-codon position. The record is from Rfam by way of RNAcentral. Lineage: Eukaryota; Metazoa; Chordata; Mammalia; Artiodactyla; Bovidae. RNAcentral also lists the same sequence under 5 other names.